RNAcentral lists this ribosomal RNA (502 nucleotides) under uncultured bacterium. RNAcentral's name for it is "partial 16S ribosomal RNA". It matches the Rfam family "Bacterial small subunit ribosomal RNA", at positions 30 to 523 of the family's 1533-position model. The record is from RNAcentral.
AUUGAACGCUGGCGGCGGGCUUAACACAUGCAAGUCGAGCGGGGUGAUGGUGCUUGCACUAUCACUUAGCGGCGGACGGGUGAGUAAUGCUUAGGAAUCUGCCUAUUAGUGGGGGACAACAUCUCGAAAGGGAUGCUAAUACCGCAUACGUCCUACGGGAGAAAGCAGGGGAUCACUUGUGACCUUGCGCUAAUAGAUGAGCCUAAGUCGGAUUAGCUAGUUGGUGGGGUAAAGGCCUACCAAGGCGACGAUCUGUAGCGGGUCUGAGAGGAUGAUCCGCCACACUGGGACUGAGACACGGCCCAGACUCCUACGGGAGGCAGCAGUGGGGAAUAUUGGACAAUGGGGGAACCCUGAUCCAGCCAUGCCGCGUGUGUGAAGAAGGCCUUAUGGUUGUAAAGCACUUUAAGCGAGGAGGAGGCUCUUUUGGUUAAUACCCAAGAUGAGUGGACGUUACUCGCAGAAUAAGCACCGGCUAACUCUGUGCCAGCAGCCGCCGUAA